RNAcentral lists this long non-coding RNA (656 nucleotides) under Homo sapiens (human). Its description in RNAcentral is "novel transcript". The record is from RNAcentral. Lineage: Eukaryota; Metazoa; Chordata; Mammalia; Primates; Hominidae.
CAGGGUCCAAAAGGUGAUGUAAUCCUGUGGCAAGAAGAUUCAAAACUGUGGACUAUCUUGCAAAAAAUACAAGAAGAUAUUGAAAGUUUUCAUGAGUGCCUACCACCUAAUCUCAAACACUAUCAUUCAUAUGUGCCUCAUUGAGCAAAUCUUUAAUGAGGAUCUAUAUGCCAGAUAAUGUAGGCAUUGUUCCUAAGUCAUGCAGAGGGGUUGUGUAAGCAUGGUCAUUUGCAUCAUUAUCCUGCACGUCUGAUACAGCCAAACUCCACGCCACCUGGUUUGCUCAAUAUCUUUUGCUUGGGAGCAGAAACAGAAAGUACAUGAUGGACUUCAUUGAAGGAUGGAGAUUUGGAAGACAUGAAUGGAUGAAGAACCAAGUGCGUGAGGGCACCUAUCAGGAUUAUUGCUGAAAUCCUUAUGGAGUUAACUGGCUGAGAGGAAGGCAAGCAAGCGAGGACUGAUGGGCCCUUGGCACUGUGAGAACAGUGGAGGAGGAGGGAGCAGGGUUCAUAAGGAGGAGCACAAACAGAAAGUUCAGUGGCCCCAAUAAAAAUAACACCAGAAUCUUCCAGAUACUUUCUCCAUAAGGCGAAAAGUAGAGAUGGGGUUUCACCAUGUUGCCCAGGCUGGUCUCAAACUCCUGAGCUCAGGCCAUC